This 499-nucleotide ribosomal RNA is filed under the name uncultured bacterium. Its description in RNAcentral is "partial 16S ribosomal RNA". It matches the Rfam family "Bacterial small subunit ribosomal RNA", at positions 28 to 507 of the family's 1533-position model. The record is from RNAcentral.
GAUGAACGCUGGCGGCGUGCCUAAUACAUGCAAGUCGAGCGAACAGACGAGAGUGCUUGCCCUCUCUGACGUUAGCGGCGGACGGGUGAGUAACACGUGGGUAACCUACCUAUAAGACUGGGAUAACUUCGGGAAACCGGAGCUAAUACCGGAUAAUAUUUAGCUUCGCAUGAAGCAAUAGUGAAAGACGGUUCUGCUGUCACUUAUAGAUGGACCCGCGGUGUAUUAGCUAGUUGGUGAGGUAACGGCUCACCAAGGCAACGAUACAUAGCCGACCUGAGAGGGUGACCGGCCACACUGGGACUGAGACACGGCCCAGACUCCUACGGGAGGCAGCAGUAGGGAAUCUUCCGCAAUGGACGAAAGUCUGACGGAGCAAUGCCGCGUGAGUGAAGAAGGUUUUCGGAUCGUAAAACUCUGUUGUAAGGGAAGAACAAGUACGUUAGUAACUGAACGUACCUUGACGGUACCUUACCAGAAAGCCACGGCUAACUACGUG